This 516-nucleotide unclassified non-coding RNA is filed under the name Paraboeremia clausa. Its description in RNAcentral is "sequence contains 28S rRNA gene". Lineage: Eukaryota; Fungi; Ascomycota; Dothideomycetes; Pleosporales; Didymellaceae. The record is from RNAcentral.
UAUUGAUAUGCGUAAGUUCAGCGGGUAUCCAUACCUGAUCCGAGGUCAAGAGUGUAAAAAGUACUUUUGGACGUCGUCGUUAUGAGUGCAAAGCGCGAGAUGUACUGCGCUCCGAAAUCAAUACGCCGGCUGCCAAUUGUUUUAAGGCGAGUCUACGCGCAAGGCGAGACAAACACCCAACACCAAGCAGAGCUUGAAGGUACAAAUGACGCUCGAACAGGCAUGCCCCAUGGAAUACCAAGGGGCGCAAUGUGCGUUCAAAGAUUCGAUGAUUCACUGAAUUCUGCAAUUCACACUACUUAUCGCAUUUCGCUGCGUUCUUCAUCGAUGCCAGAACCAAGAGAUCCGUUGUUGAAAGUUGUAACUAUUAUGUUUUUCAGACGCUGAUUGCAACUGCAAAUGGUUUAAAUUGUCCAACCGGCGGGCGAGCCCACCGAGGAAACGUAAGUACUCAAAAGACAUGGGUAAGAGACAGUGGGCAAAGCCCACAAACUCUAGGUAAUGAUCCUCCGCAGU